ACAUGAUCAGAUGCUGUCCCUAUGAUCCUACUGCCUGUGCCGUGUAUCCCCCCAGCCCCAGCAUCCCAAUCAACAGCAAAGUCAAGACAGGACAAGAAAAAAGCAACGUAGGGAAGAAGCGAAGAAUUCAGCUUUAGACUUCACACGCACUGCUCUUCGCUUUGAAAACCAACAGAUGAAUCCCCCUUUGAGAUGGAGAGGGGGAAAAAAAAAUAAUGUUUGAGCUUUUGAAAACGUUCCCUGCGUUAUUUGCUGAAUUUGACUUCAAGCCGCAAAUAUUCCGCUCUCCAUAAAGGGCAUGCAUCUUCUUAAGCAGGUUUACCUUUCAGCUCUAACCACCGCUGGUCCCUGGUGCUUGCAGAUACGUUUCGCCGACAGGACCAGGCUUUUCAGGAACAGCCUUUAGCAGUGUCCUGGGGGCUCACAUCAAGAGGAGAAAUGACUAGGUUCUCUCUGUUCUACUUCUGAACACCUGCCCCUUCCUUUCAAUGCUUCCCCCUGCCUCAAAGAGUAGCUAAGCUGUAGGUUUUCAAUGAUUUUGUGUCUUUAUCCUAUUUAUGCAUUGCAGGACAUUAGAAACAACUGAGAACUGAAUCUUUCUCUCAAAGUCACAGCACACAGUGUAAGGCCCCCAGACAUUUCCCUGCAGUCAAAAAUCUCCUGAUAU
RNAcentral lists this long non-coding RNA (667 nucleotides) under Anas platyrhynchos (mallard). RNAcentral describes it as "lncRNA (ENSAPLG00020017860.1)". The record is from RNAcentral. Lineage: Eukaryota; Metazoa; Chordata; Aves; Anseriformes; Anatidae.